AUGUGUGGGAUUUUGGCCGUCCUCGGCUGCGCCGACUGGUCGCAGGCCAAGAGGGCUCGCGUCCUCUCCUGCUCCCGCAGGCUCAAGCACCGGGGACCGGACUGGUCCGGGCUGUUCCAGUGCGAGGGCAACUUCCUGGCGCAGCAGCGCCUCUCCGUCGUCUCCCCGCUCUCCGGUGACCAGCCCCUCUACAACGAGGACCGGACCGUCGUCGUCGUGGCAAAUGGAGAGAUCUACAACCACAAGAAGAUCCGGAAGCAGUUCGCCGCCAAGCACACCUUCACCACCGGCAGCGACUGCGAGGUCAUCAUCCCUCUGUAUGAGGAGUACGGCGAGAACUUCGUCAACAUGCUGGACGGCGUCUUCUCCUUCGUACUGUACGACACCCGCAACAAGACGUACAUGGCCGCCCGCGACGCCGUCGGCGUCAACCCUCUCUACUUCGGCCGGGGCAGCGACGGCUCCGUCUGGAUUGCGUCUGAGAUGAAGGCGCUCCACGAGGACUGCCCAAAGUUCGAGCUCUUCCCUCCGGGGAACCUCUACUCGAGCGCCGCCGGCGGGUUCCGCCGGUGGUACAACCCGCAGUGGUUCGCCGAGCACGUCCCGGCGACGGCGUACCAGCCCCUCGUCCUCAGGGAGGCGUUCGAGAAGGCCGUCAUCAAGAGGCUCAUGACUGACGUGCCCUUCGGCGUUCUCCUCUCCGGCGGCCUCGACUCCUCCCUCGUCGCCUCGGUGACCAAGCGCCAUCUCAUCGAGACUGAAGCCGCCAAGAAGUUUGGAACUGAGCUCCACUCCUUUGUCGUCGGCCUAGAGGGCUCACCUGAUCUCAAGGCCGCGAGAGAGGUAGCUGACUAUCUUGGAACCAUCCAUCACGAGUUCCAUUUCACCGUCCAGGAUGGCAUCGACGCCAUCGAGGAGGUGAUCUACCACAACGAGACGUACGACGUGACGACCAUACGUGCGAGCACGCCGAUGUUCCUGAUGGCGCGCAAGAUCAAGGCGCUCGGGGUUAAGAUGGUGCUGUCAGGAGAAGGCUCCGACGAGCUCCUUGGCGGCUACCUCUACUUCCACUUCGCCCCAAACAAGGAGGAGUUCCACAAGGAGACCUGCCGCAAGGUGAAGGCGCUCCAUCAGUAUGACUGCCUGCGCGCCAACAAGGCCACGUCCGCUUGGGGACUGGAAGUCCGCGUGCCGUUCCUCGACAAGGAGUUCAUCGACGUCGCCAUGAGCAUGGACCCCGAGUGGAAACUGUACGACGCCAAUCUGGGCCGCAUCGAGAAGUGGGUGCUGAGGAAGGCGUUCGAUGACGAGAAGGAGCCUUACCUGCCGAAGCAUAUAUUGUACCGGCAGAAGGAGCAGUUCAGUGACGGCGUCGGCUACAACUGGAUCGACGGCCUCAAGGCUUUUACUGAGCAGCAGGUGACUGACGAGAUGAUGAAGAACGCCGCAGAGGAGUACCCGUACAACACCCCCAUCAACAAGGAGGCCUACUACUACCGGAUGAUCUUCGAGAGGCUCUACCCUCAGGAUUCGGCGAGGGAGACGGUGCCGUGGGGUCCGAGCAUCGCGUGCAGCACGCCGGCGGCCAUCGAGUGGGUGGCGCAGUGGAAGGCCUCCAACGACCCCUCCGGCCGGCACAUCGCCUCCCACAACGAUGCCGCCCCCGCUCAUGCCCACGCCAACUGGAACGGGGCAGUGGCCAACGGGAAAGCCAACGGGAACGGCACGGCGAACGGGAACGCCAACGCCAACGGGACUCUGGUCCCGUGCUAG
RNAcentral lists this ribosomal RNA (1773 nucleotides) under Triticum aestivum (bread wheat). Its description in RNAcentral is "partial small subunit ribosomal RNA". Lineage: Eukaryota; Viridiplantae; Streptophyta; Magnoliopsida; Poales; Poaceae. The record is from RNAcentral.